GCCAGACUGAUGACUGGGAGCACACACCCACCAAAAUUCCUCUAAUGAAAAUAGGGACGUCCCUAUUUUCAUCAGAGAAAUUUUGGUGGGUAUGCGCUCCCAGUCACUAGUCUGGC
Molecule: non-coding RNA, 116 nt
Organism: Podarcis lilfordi (Lilford's wall lizard)
Lineage: Eukaryota; Metazoa; Chordata; Lepidosauria; Squamata; Lacertidae
Source: the annotation of a GenBank genome assembly